Molecule: transfer RNA, 85 nt
Filed under: Pseudomonadota bacterium
Lineage: Bacteria; Pseudomonadati; Pseudomonadota
Description: tRNA-Leu
Rfam family: tRNA
About the family: Transfer RNA (tRNA) molecules are approximately 80 nucleotides in length. Their secondary structure includes four short double-helical elements and three loops (D, anti-codon, and T loops).
Source: RNAcentral
GCCCAGGUGGUGGAAUUGGUAGACACACCAUCUUGAGGGGGUGGCGCCGAAAGGCGUGCGAGUUCGACUCUCGCCCUGGGCACCA